UACGUAGGGUGCAAGCGUUGUCCGGAAUUAUUGGGCGUAAAGAGCUCGUAGGCGGCUUGUCGCGUCGUCCGUGAAAACCUGUGGCUCAACUGCAGGCUUGCGGUCGAUACGGGCAGGCUGGAGUUCGGUAGGGGAGACUGGAAUUCCUGGUGUAGCGGUGAAAUGCGCAGAUAUCAGGAGGAACACCGGUGGCGAAGGCGGGUCUCUGGGCCGAUACUGACGCUGAGGAGCGAAAGCGUGGGGAGCGAACAGG
Molecule: ribosomal RNA, 253 nt
Filed under: uncultured bacterium
Lineage: Bacteria
Description: partial 16S ribosomal RNA
Rfam family: Bacterial small subunit ribosomal RNA
Source: RNAcentral